UGGCAUUGUUGGUUUCUCCCUUCUGACGAACCAUGAUGUCAUUUAUUUGGUGUUGUGGGGAAUCAGGACUGUUACUUUGAAAAAAUUAGAGUGUUUAAAGCAGGCUCACGCUUGAAUACAUUAGCAUGGAAUAAUGAAAUAGGACGUUUGAUUCUAUUUUGUUGGUUUCUAGGAUCGACGUAAUGAUUAAUAGGGAUAGUUGGGGGCAUUAGUAUUCAAUUGUCAGAGGUGAAAUUCUUGGAUUUAUUGAAGACUAACUACUGCGAAAGCAUUUGCCAAGGAUGUUUUCAUUAAUCAAGAACGAAAGUUAGGGGAUCGAAGACGAUCAGAUACCGUCGUAGUCUUAACCAUAAACUAUGCCGACUAGGGAUCGGAUGAUGUUAAUUUUUUAAUGACUCAUUCGGCGCCUUACG
RNAcentral lists this ribosomal RNA (413 nucleotides) under uncultured Glomeromycotina. RNAcentral's name for it is "SSU rRNA". It matches the Rfam family "Eukaryotic small subunit ribosomal RNA", at positions 681 to 1092 of the family's 1831-position model. Lineage: Eukaryota; Fungi; Glomeromycota. The record is from RNAcentral.